GGCCCCGGAGCGGGGUUGCGGCACGGCGUCGGCGGGAGGUCGGCUCCUGUUGUGGCAGGCGUGGCCCGGAGGACUUUUAGAGUGGCCCGGUUCCUGCCCGACGUGGACCAGAGCGUGCGCUUGCCCCUGCGGAUGCAGCCCGUAGGAGCGGGGCCGCAGGCGGGCCCUGGAGCGCUGCUGAGUCCUGGGAGGCUUGAACCCUCUGGAGCAAACCGGCUGAAGGUGAACUGGAGUCAGAGCUGGAACCAAUGAUAGCAAAUGCUGACAGAGGGGAAACCUGAACAAGCAGUCUGUUAUUAAUUCCUAAGGGAUGGGAUGAAACAAGGAAGCAAAAAUGCAGUGGACCCUUGGUAUCCCCAGCAACUGCUAAAGAAGGAGGUGUUAUGCCAUGGGCAAGUAAGAUCGGUUGCCCCAGCUGAAGUUGAAGAGACCAGAAAAAACGUAAGCAAGCUGAAGUGAUAAAAUCAAAUGGAACCAACUGAGAGUUGUCUCCAUCUCCCACAAAGGAGGACCCAUUACUCCUGACUAGGAAGGAUCGCCAUUAAAGCAAUGGGAAUAACAGAUCACCGAUGUAUAACAGAAGGCAUUCCAAUCGUCAGGGAAUGACUGUAUGCUGCCAUGAAGAGCUACAGGGUAUCGCCCUCAGACCUCUGUGAGUUAUCACGUGUCAAGGGCGGCCCGGAAGAUGCUAGAGGAAAGGUUCUCCUCCCAGUGCCGACAAGGACCCUUUGGCCAUAGGAAGGUUGGCCUCGUCCUUACCGGACUUGAUAACCUUGUGAGGGCGAGCAACUUCAAGAGGAGCAGCUCAGCCCAUUCUGUUGAUUUCUGUUAUACUCUCUUAAGGAAGUCUAGCUGAAUCCUGCCCCUGAAGGAAAAAGCAGAAGGGGUAGGCCAUCAGCUACACAGACACCUGCCAUGUCAGGGGCUGCAGCGGGAACUGACUCUUCCCCAAUGAACGGAUGGAUGGACGGACGCUGGCGUGGUGAUGACUCUUCAGGUGUCGUCUAGUAAGGGGAAGUGUGCUGGCACUGAGCUUUGUGGCAGACUUGCUCCCAGGUGGUAUUUUUGUGCAGUAAAACAAUAAACAGUUGCUUUAUUCUU
Rhea pennata is the source of this 1101-nucleotide long non-coding RNA. RefSeq lists it as uncharacterized. NCBI's taxonomy places the organism in Eukaryota, Metazoa, Chordata, Aves, Rheiformes, Rheidae. The transcript is spliced from 7 exons. The record is from RefSeq and is a predicted model, not a curated record.